This 497-nucleotide ribosomal RNA is filed under the name uncultured bacterium. RNAcentral's name for it is "partial 16S ribosomal RNA". It matches the Rfam family "Bacterial small subunit ribosomal RNA", at positions 28 to 507 of the family's 1533-position model. The record is from RNAcentral.
GAUGAACGCUGGCGGCGUGCCUAAUACAUGCAAGUCGAGCGAACGGACGAGAAGCUUGCUUCUCUGAUGUUAGCGGCGGACGGGUGAGUAACACGUGGAUAACCUACCUAUAAGACUGGGAUAACUUCGGGAAACCGGAGCUAAUACCGGAUAAUAUUUUGAACCGCAUGGUUCAAAAGUGAAAGACGGUCUUGCUGUCACUUAUAGAUGGAUCCGCGCUGCAUUAGCUAGUUGGUAAGGUAACGGCUUACCAAGGCAACGAUGCAUAGCCGACGUGAGAGGGUGAUCGGCCGCACGGGAAGUGAGACACGGUCCAGACGCCUACGGGAGGCAGCAGUAGGGAAUCUGCCGCAAUGGGCGAAAGCCUGACGGAGCAACGCCGCGUGAGUGAUGAAGGUCUUCGGAUCGUAAAACCCUGUUAUUAGGGAAGAACAUAUGUGUAAGUAACUGUGCACAUCUUGACGGUACCUAAUCAGAAAGCCACGGCUAACUACGUG